UUACACCGGUUCCCGUACGAUCUCGGAAGUUAAGCAACGUCGAGCCUGGUCAUUACCGAGAUGGAUGAUCGAUUGAGAGUACCAAGUGCUGUAAG
This is a non-coding RNA of Acanthosepion pharaonis, 95 nucleotides long. NCBI's taxonomy places the organism in Eukaryota, Metazoa, Mollusca, Cephalopoda, Sepiida, Sepiidae. The record is from the annotation of a GenBank genome assembly.